RNAcentral lists this long non-coding RNA (216 nucleotides) under Nicotiana benthamiana. RNAcentral describes it as "long non-coding RNA (NBEN_LNC026933)". Lineage: Eukaryota; Viridiplantae; Streptophyta; Magnoliopsida; Solanales; Solanaceae. The record is from RNAcentral.
UGAAAUGCCAAGGACAGGAGGGUGAGAGAUAUUGGAGGGUAGGAUAUGGCAUAAUUUGAGUUGGGAAAUAUGGAAGGUUGGGUGGAUGAGUAGUUGGGUUAGGAGAGAUAGCUUGUAAGCUACAGGGCCAAUGUUUUGUAAGACUUGAUAUGGGCCAUAAUAUUUAGCUGAAAGCUUGGAGAAUGGGAACCAGACAGUAUUAUUUGUGUAUGGGGC